Molecule: long non-coding RNA, 3778 nt
Organism: Megalops cyprinoides (Indo-Pacific tarpon)
Lineage: Eukaryota; Metazoa; Chordata; Actinopteri; Elopiformes; Megalopidae
Exons: 3
Source: RefSeq, a predicted model, not a curated record
CUUCCCGUCAGCUUGAGAUCGGAUGCUGUUGCUAAGUACCUCAGAGAAGUCCUGUGUGUUACGUGCGCGUCAUAAUACCACACUGAUGCAUACAAUCAAAGGCAAUCUACUCGGCUGUGCCUUGUUGAGCUGUUAAACAACCAAAUUAAAUCACUGGAUUGCAUUUGAUGGACUACUGUGUGUUCUGACCAACACCCCAAGAAGAUACCCAUCACAAACUUGCCACAUCAUAUACAGUCCAACCAGUCACCACCAUUCUACACAGCAGGGCGGAGCGUCGCCGGAGCAGAGAGCCGGGAUAGAGGAAGAUUGUCGUCUGCAGACCCGCCGCGGCGAAGCUGCUGCCCGGCUGGUCGAUUGGUGCAAACAGCAGGAGCGUCCGCCCUGCUUCACGUAAGGAAAGUGUGCUAUUUCGUCCUGCACGAGACGCGUGUGUGUGACCAAGGGUGGCUCCGCUGGCUUGUCAGUUCCCUCUUCGCGUUCGUAGGAGUUGCAGAGCGCGGCGGGGGAUAGGAUCUGAGAGGCAGCGCAAUUCCACCCAGCAGCACGACUACGUGGAGCCUGGCGUCCGGACAGCAAAUGACUCUUUAUGGGACACGAGGGUGUAUUUGGGGGAUAUUUUUUUAGAUUUGUUCAUUUUUUUUUCCCUUGUUUUUUUUUUUUUUUUGGCGUUGCUGCUGGAGGGAAGGUGAUAAGCAGCAACGCCUGCUUUAUAUAAGUGUGCGUGUGUGUAUGUGGGAGCGCUCCCGGUGGCAGCCUGCGACACUGCCUGGUCAGCCCCGUGCGGGACUGGCUCACCCUGGCCGGAGGGAGGCGCCAACUGCAGCUAGUGAGGGGAAAUUGCAGUGCUUGCUUCUGCCCGAGUGUGAAGGUGCGAGGGGAUCACUGUGUGCUGUGGAACUGGAGUGUGUACACUUACCUGUGGGGGGCGUUAUCCUUUGGGGGGAGGGGCCACGGUUCUCACGGGGCUCACAAGUGGAGGAGUAGGCGAAGGGGGUGACUCCAGGUGUGCUGUCAGUGAUGAACUUUUUUUUAUCGUAAGUUUUAACUCCAACUUGAAAAAAUAGUUUGUAUUGCUGCCUACCUGGUCUCGCGUUGUGGUGGGCUGACUGUGCUCGGAACAGUUCAGUGUCCGGGUCGGCUAAACCGUGACACUCCCGUAGACUUGCAUGCAAAAUUCACGACUUUCUCAAUGUUAUUUAAUAACUUGACCAUGUUUAUAUAAUGUCGGUAUAAUUUUUUUGCAUUGUAGCAGUCACAUACUACCAAAUAUAUUCUCACCAACAUGAUCACAUGAGUAACUUUAGAGAUCGCGGGUUUUCCCCCAUAAAGAUAGCUGACCGAAUGCAUGUGUCAGCCAGCAGUUAAGUCACCGACCGUCUAGUUUCGAGGUAAAUUAACUUAUUGAUUAUCUAAAUGCCUUAGAUAAAACAUAAAACUUCACAUUGGGAUUUCGUUUUUAUUAAUAUUACACCUGACAGCACAACUCUUCGCUAUUACUAUUAGGCUGCUGGGGAUCCGUUGAUAUGUGGCUAAACUGCUACCUAGCUGCUAACUCUAGGUAACAUUACUAACCUGCAGAUUCCCCAUACAAUCAUAUGGUCUUCCCCGAAUCGGACACGUUACCUUUACUUUUUUUUCCAAUUGUAGGCGCACAGAAUCGUUAUUGUAGACAGAUGUUUAAUAUACAUCUGAUAGAUCAUGUAAAAAUGAUAAAAAGUAAGAUUACACGAUAACACAAUAAAACACUCGAGAAUAGUCAAUUUUCUGUUGGUACUGGUUAGGCCACUGCCUGGUGGGUUUCUGCCACCAGCUAAUGCUCACGCGCUGCAAUGUUUGUAAAUAUAGGAAAUGCAAAGUUGAAGUAUCAAAUAAUCAUAGCCUACCGCAGCCACCUUGUGGUAAAACAUAUGAAUGAAUGCUCAUUUAGACCUAUUAGCAAUGUUGAUAGGCUACUUUAGACUGAUUCGCUGAGGUAGGCUACUUGCAUUUAAAGGGCUCAAAUAGGCUAUUUUUUGCGGCUCCAGACAGAUUUUUUUUUUUCUUUCUGGCCAAAAAUGGCUCUUUAGAUGGUAAAGGUUGCCGAACCCUGCUCUAAACCAUUCAGGAGUAUAGGAGUAUAUUUGUGGAGUACAUUUGUGUAACUUGUGCACUGGUCCAAGGUUACAAUUUGUCAGUUAAGGUCUAAUGAGAGAAGUGUCUAAUGGUAAAAUUUCAAAAAAGCUACCAGUUCAUUAUGGAACAAGGAGUGACUUUUAAAUUAAGUCAGCCAGAUGGCUGUGAAUCAGAAGAUAAGGAAAGGCAGUGUUCAGCAGCUCGGGUUCUUCUCUUCAUCUGUGUCAAUGUGGGAGCUGCACCUGCCUGCUCCUGCCACUAUCUCUCCAGCUAAUGAAGCUCAUUGAUGGGAUGCUCAAUACCAUAAAGACCUGGCUUUAUAGCAGCUCUGAUUCUGUGGGUCAGGAGAGAGGAGAGUGUUCAUUUGAGUGAUGCUGUGAGUGUGAGUUUCCCUCUCUUACAGGGGAAAUGCUACAAUGAUCUGAGCAGGCCUGAUCCCUCACCUAUACCUUUUAGUCAAGUUUACACAUCCUGAUGUGUCACACUGCUUAAGCAUCAGUUUAAGCUCCUUCUGUCUCACCAAGUCUCGAGUCAUUCUAGUCCUGACUAGUUUUCUUAUGCUGAACUUUUUAUGGACGAAGUUCUUCUGCUUUGGACUUUUUUUCUUUGAGCUUUUCUCGGUUCUGAGCGCUUUGAAAGACUGCUUUUGUUCACUUCAAAAACAUGCCUGUUGAGUUCCUGGAUCUUCUCCUGUCAGCUGUUGUACUGAGUGCAUCUCUGGUACUAUAGCUCAAAUUUCCAUAACAGAAAAUUACACAAUAUGGGAAAAAAUACUUUCAGGCCCUGUUGAUAGUAUAAUCAACAUGAAAAGCUCUAACCCCCAUAUAAACUGAAUGAGUAAUUGCUUUUAUAGAGAUCUGUUUAUUUUUUCCCCCUGGAGCUGCUUGUCUUUUACAGCACCAAGGCACUGUAUGUACUGUGUUCCUCCAGUUCCUCUCUUUGCUGUUCUUUAACAACUGGGAGUGUGGGUGUAAUAAACUAAUUAACAUUGUACUCCUCGAUUGUCUUUCAGCUCCAUUUGAACAGUUAUCUUGCCAGCUGCACUGUUUUGUCCCACAGCCACUGGAGCUGUGUAUUACUGAUCUAAUAUACCUGGAAUGACACAUCAGCCUGGUGUCUUCAGCUUGUUUAAACUGUUAUAUUAUAGAGGUACAGAGCUCCUAAAGGGAUAUACACAGUAAAACCAUAUAUCCUGAAGGGAUACUGUGUGAGAAUGAGAUCUUGAUCAUAAGUCACUCCCCAUGAUAAGGAUCUUGUUCCCUUUAGUUAUUACACUGUUCUCGAGUUUUCUCUUUAUGUCCCCUGAGAGACUACAUAGUGAUAUCAUAGUCACAUGGAGGAACUGUAAUGAAGUUUGAGAAAGAAACUUAAAGAGCAUCUAUAUAUUUCUCUAAGCCCCAAAAAUAAUGUAUCUUCAUGCAACUUAACCAUGUUAGUAGUUUCUCAGGCUACAUUCAGACUAGAGAUAAAAUUUGAAUUUUGAAUUUUUCCCUCAUGUGACCCAGUUUGGGUGUUUUUAGAACAGUGUGACCAGCAGAGGUGGCGUACGCAUAAAAUUUGUAAUUUGGCGACACCAAGUGGAACUCACGGUGAUGCAAGUAAACGGGUCCUGUGUCAAUCAUUGAUGAGUUAUCGCGCCAGGAUGAAGUGGCUGAGUUAAAAA